Long non-coding RNA from Poecile atricapillus (Black-capped chickadee), 794 nucleotides. RefSeq lists it as uncharacterized. NCBI's taxonomy places the organism in Eukaryota, Metazoa, Chordata, Aves, Passeriformes, Paridae. The record is from RefSeq and is a predicted model, not a curated record. The transcript has 4 exons.
CGGGGCUGUGCAGAUCAUCCCGGGGCUGUGCAUCAUCCCGGGGCUGUGCAGAUCAUCCCGGGGCUGUGCAGAUCAUCCCGGGGCUGCGGCACCGAGCAGCGGCAGCAACACCAUCGCUCCUUGGGCAGACAGCGGGGGACGGGCAUCAGCGUGGGGAAAAUGCAGGCAUGUGGGGAAGAUCAUGUGAGAAUUGAAGAUGGUCAAGAUUCCAGAUCUAGUUUAUCUGUUUCCAUGCAAGACGUUCCUUUUCACCCUCCUCAAUCAUUUUUGUUUAAAGUCUUUCAACUGUGCAGCCAGAACCACAAGUGAUAGGAAAGAACCACUCAGCGGAAUAAAGGGAACUCUUCUGAUGAAUGCCUGAAGUAGCUGGUAUCCCAUGAGAAGAUCUCUCUGCAGAUCUACAGGCAAGACCUAGCUGAUGUAGUUCCAUGGUGCUGCACAGACCUGGGACCAGCUGCUCUCAGCCUCCAGCACCAGGUUUUGUGUCAAGUCAGACACCAGGUAGCGACUCUUCAGGUGAGAUGUGUUCAGUUUGAGCUCCAGCUUCAUGUGAUCAAACCCCUUCUGCUGACAUGCAUUUGCACAUCUGGAAUACCAGCAGGUGAAUGCACAGUAUCACAAACCCCACUGGCAAUUGUAAAUAAGAAUAAACCCUUCUUUUCAGCUUGUGGAAGCUGGAUGUCUAACUCUCUAGAAAAAUAAAUGGCAAAUUGGACCGUGGGUUUUGUAAAUCACCUUGAAAAUCUCAGUAACUGCGAUUAAUCAAAAUAUUCAGUUCUAAAAUUUAAAUGGUG